GCCACUGGAUUGGGAGUGAGAUCAGCUCAGCCCCUCCCCGGGGCUGCAGGGAAAAGGUCACCAGUCACCAGUCACCAGCCACCAGUCACCAGUCACCAGUCUGACCCUUUAACUGAGGGUAUUUGAAAGAUAACAAAACCAGAAAGAAAAACAGAAAGGAGGAGGGAGGGAAUUCAAAUGCUUCAGUGCCCUGCUCCACAAACCCCAGCUCCCGUAGGCAGAUCAGCUCUUGCUUAUGCUGGCAGAAAGCUGGAAGGCUGCUGACUUCCAACCCCGCUGCUCAAAUCCGGGCAGGGUUUGGUCCAGGCGACUUUUAAAGCUGCCUGAAAACACCAAAUCUCCGAGGAAAGCUUCCUGGGCUUGGUCCAACCUGCUCUGCCCGGCUGGAGCAGCCACGAGGCUGGGAUGGGCUGAGCCUGCUUUCGGGAGGCACGGGGCUGUUUUCCAGAGAAAUACCUCCAUCACCCACAGCCCAAGCCCCCCCGCAAAGCAGAGUGACAGCUCUGUCGCCAGCUUCAUGGAGGAAGAGCCUCUGGUGAGGGCUCAGCAGCCAGGAUGGCUCCAUCACUGCUCGCAUUGACACGUGCAUUGAAAGGAGACUCCGAACAGGGACUCAGAGAUAACUCCCAUCUACUUCAGCAGCGACAUAAAGGUGGGGAGCAUAAAGCAGCUACUUGUAAUAGUAACCUGACAUGCUUUUCCCCUGUACAAAAGCAGCAUUUCCUUCUGUAAUAAAGAACAGGCUGUUCUGA
This is a long non-coding RNA of Strigops habroptila (Kakapo), 752 nucleotides long. RefSeq lists it as uncharacterized. NCBI's taxonomy places the organism in Eukaryota, Metazoa, Chordata, Aves, Psittaciformes, Psittacidae. The transcript is spliced from 2 exons. The record is from RefSeq and is a predicted model, not a curated record.